This is an unclassified non-coding RNA of Callithrix jacchus (white-tufted-ear marmoset), 299 nucleotides long. It matches the Rfam family "Metazoan signal recognition particle RNA". Rfam says of the family: The signal recognition particle (SRP) is a universally conserved ribonucleoprotein. The record is from Ensembl. NCBI's taxonomy places the organism in Eukaryota, Metazoa, Chordata, Mammalia, Primates, Cebidae.
GCCAGGCGCAGUGGCGCAUGCCUGUAGUUCCAGCUACUCAGGAGGCUGAGGUGGGAGGAUCGCUUGAGUCCAGGAGUUCUCGCCUGUAGCAUGCUCUGCUGAUCGGUGUCCACACUAAGUUUGGCAUCAAUAUGGUGACCUCCCGGGAGCGGGGGACCACCAGGUUGCCUAAGGAGGGGUGAACCAGCCCAGGUUGGAAACAGAGCAGGUCAAAACUCCCGUGCUGAUCAGUAGUGGGAUUGCGCUUGUGAAUAGCCACUGCACUCCAGCCUGGGCAACACAGUGAGACCCCAUCUCUU